AAAUUGAAGAGUUUGAUCAUGGCUCAGAUUGAACGCUGGCGGCAGGCCUAACACAUGCAAGUCGAACGGUAACAGGAAGCAGCUUGCUGCUUCGCUGACGAGUGGCGGACGGGUGAGUAAUGUCUGGGAAACUGCCUGAUGGAGGGGGAUAACUACUGGAAACGGUGGCUAAUACCGCAUAACGUCGCAAGACCAAAGAGGGGGACCUUCGGGCCUCUUGCCAUCAGAUGUGCCCAGAUGGGAUUAGCUUGUUGGUGAGGUAACGGCUCACCAAGGCGACGAUCCCUAGCUGGUCUGAGAGGAUGACCAGCCACACUGGAACUGAGACACGGUCCAGACUCCUACGGGAGGCAGCAGUGGGGAAUAUUGCACAAUGGGCGCAAGCCUGAUGCAGCCAUGCCGCGUGUAUGAAGAAGGCCUUCGGGUUGUAAAGUACUUUCAGCGGGGAGGAAGGUGUUGUGGUUAAUAACCGCAGCAAUUGACGUUACCCGCAGAAGAAGCACCGGCUAACUCCGUGCCAGCAGCCGCGGUAAUACGGAGGGUGCAAGCGUUAAUCGGAAUUACUGGGCGUAAAGCGCACGCAGGCGGUCUGUCAAGUCGGAUGUGAAAUCCCCGGGCUCAACCUGGGAACUGCAUUCGAAACUGGCAGGCUUGAGUCUUGUAGAGGGGGGUAGAAUUCCAGGUGUAGCGGUGAAAUGCGUAGAGAUCUGGAGGAAUACCGGUGGCGAAGGCGGCCCCCUGGACAAAGACUGACGCUCAGGUGCGAAAGCGUGGGGAGCAAACAGGAUUAGAUACCCUGGUAGUCCACGCCGUAAACGAUGUCUACUUGGAGGUUGUGCCCUUGAGGCGUGGCUUCCGGAGCUAACGCGUUAAGUAGACCGCCUGGGGAGUACGGCCGCAAGGUUAAAACUCAAAUGAAUUGACGGGGGCCCGCACAAGCGGUGGAGCAUGUGGUUUAAUUCGAUGCAACGCGAAGAACCUUACCUGGUCUUGACAUCCACAGAACUUUCCAGAGAUGGAUUGGUGCCUUCGGGAACUGUGAGACAGGUGCUGCAUGGCUGUCGUCAGCUCGUGUUGUGAAAUGUUGGGUUAAGUCCCGCAACGAGCGCAACCCUUAUCCUUUGUUGCCAGCGGUUAGGCCGGGAACUCAAAGGAGACUGCCAGUGAUAAACUGGAGGAAGGUGGGGAUGACGUCAAGUCAUCAUGGCCCUUACGACCAGGGCUACACACGUGCUACAAUGGCGCAUACAAAGAGAAGCGACCUCGCGAGAGCAAGCGGACCUCAUAAAGUGCGUCGUAGUCCGGAUUGGAGUCUGCAACUCGACUCCAUGAAGUCGGAAUCGCUAGUAAUCGUGGAUCAGAAUGCCACGGUGAAUACGUUCCCGGGCCUUGUACACACCGCCCGUCACACCAUGGGAGUGGGUUGCAAAAGAAGUAGGUAGCUUAACCUUCGGGAGGGCGCUUACCACUUUGUGAUUCAUGACUGGGGUGAAGUCGUAACAAGGUAACCGUAGGGGAACCUGCGGUUGGAUCACCUCCUUACCUGAAAGAA
RNAcentral lists this ribosomal RNA (1552 nucleotides) under Salmonella enterica. Its description in RNAcentral is "bacterial SSU rRNA". It matches the Rfam family "Bacterial small subunit ribosomal RNA". The record is from RNAcentral. Lineage: Bacteria; Pseudomonadati; Pseudomonadota; Gammaproteobacteria; Enterobacterales; Enterobacteriaceae.